RNAcentral lists this long non-coding RNA (283 nucleotides) under Elaeis guineensis (African oil palm). RNAcentral describes it as "long non-coding RNA (EGUI_LNC009806)". The record is from RNAcentral. Lineage: Eukaryota; Viridiplantae; Streptophyta; Magnoliopsida; Arecales; Arecaceae.
UAAUUCAUUUAACAUGGAGAAAACAUAAGAUGUGAAUAUUACAAAAAAAGCUCAAAAAGUGAAAAUUUAAUAACUACGACUAUUAGCACUUUAGGUGGCAUUUGAUAGCCAAAAUGGGAUCGCUAUCGUGAGAAGGAGGAAGGAGAGGUCAUUGGUGAGAAAGGGGCAAAGGUGGAGGGGGCCACCAGGCAAGGAGAGAGCUUACGAAUGGGCUUGGAGGAGGAGAAGUGGGUGAAGAAAAAAAAGAGGAUGGGAAAGGAGAGAUCACCAGUAAGGAAUAGAU